Molecule: ribosomal RNA, 468 nt
Filed under: uncultured bacterium
Lineage: Bacteria
Description: partial 16S ribosomal RNA
Rfam family: Bacterial small subunit ribosomal RNA
Source: RNAcentral
GACGAACGCUGGCGGCGUGCUUAACACAUGCAAGUCGAACGGAAAGGCCCUGCUUUUGUGGGGUGCUCGAGUGGCGAACGGGUGAGUAACACGUGAGUAUCCUGCCCUUGACUUUGGGAUAACUUCAGGAAACUGGGGCUAAUACCGGAUAGGAGCUCCUGCUGCAUGGUGGGGGUUGGAAAGUUUCGGCGGUUGGGGAUGGACUCGCGGCUUAUCAGCUGGUUGGUGGGGUAGUGGCUUACCAAGGGUUUGACGGGUAGCCGGCCUGAGAGGGUGACCGGCGACAUUGGGCCUGAGAUACGGCCCAGACUCCUACGGGAGGCAGCAGUGGGGAAUAUUGCACAAUGGGCGGAAGCCUGAUGCAGCAACGCCGCGUGCGGGAUGACGGCCUUCGGGUUGUAAACCGCUUUCGCCUGUGACGAAGCGUGAGUGACGGUAAUGGGUAAAGAAGCACCGGCUAACUACGUG